RNAcentral lists this ribosomal RNA (440 nucleotides) under uncultured bacterium. RNAcentral describes it as "partial 16S ribosomal RNA". It matches the Rfam family "Bacterial small subunit ribosomal RNA", at positions 338 to 795 of the family's 1533-position model. The record is from RNAcentral.
CCUACGGGUGGCAGCAGUGGGGAAUAUUGCACAAUGGGGGAAACCCUGAUGCAGCGAAGCCGCGUGAGUGAAGAAGUAAUUCGUUAUGUAAAGCUCUAUCAGCAGGGAAGAAAAUGACGGUACCUGAAUAAGAAGCCCCGGAUACCUACGUUCCAGCAGCAGCGGUAAUACGUAGGGGGCAAGCGUUAUCCGGAUUUACUGGGUGUAAGGGGAACGUAGACGGCAGUGCAAGUCUGGAGUGAAGGGCGGGGGCUCAACCCCAGGACUGCUCUAGAAACUGUAAGGCUGGAGUGCAGGAGAGGUAAGUGGAAUUCCUAGUGUAGCGGUGAAAUGCGUAGAUAUUAGGAGGAACACCAGUGGCGAAGGCGGCUUACUGGACUGUAACUGACGUUGAGGCUCGAAAGCGUGGGGAGCAAACAGGAUUAGAUACCCGAGUAGUC